AACGAACGCUGGCGGCAUGCCUAACACAUGCAAGUCGAACGAGAUCUUCGGGUCUAGUGGCGCACGGGUGCGUAACGCGUGGGAAUCUGCCCUUGGGUUCGGAAUAACUUCGGGAAACUGAAGCUAAUACCGGAUGAUGACGUAAGUCCAAAGAUUUAUCGCCCAAGGAUGAGCCCGCGUAGGAUUAGCUAGUUGGUGAGGUAAAGGCUCACCAAGGCGACGAUCCUUAGCUGGUCUGAGAGGAUGAUCAGCCACACUGGGACUGAGACACGGCCCAGACUCCUACGGGAGGCAGCAGUGGGGAAUAUUGGACAAUGGGCGCAAGCCUGAUCCAGCAAUGCCGCGUGCAGGAUGAAGGCC
RNAcentral lists this ribosomal RNA (360 nucleotides) under uncultured bacterium. RNAcentral's name for it is "bacterial SSU rRNA". It matches the Rfam family "Bacterial small subunit ribosomal RNA", at positions 29 to 416 of the family's 1533-position model. The record is from RNAcentral.